This 439-nucleotide ribosomal RNA is filed under the name uncultured bacterium. Its description in RNAcentral is "partial 16S ribosomal RNA". It matches the Rfam family "Bacterial small subunit ribosomal RNA", at positions 339 to 795 of the family's 1533-position model. The record is from RNAcentral.
CUACGGGGCGCAGCAGUGGGGAAUAUUGGACAAUGGGCGAAAGCCUGAUCCAGCAAUGCCGCGUGAGUGAUGAAGGCCUUAGGGUUGUAAAGCUCUUUUACCCGGGAUGAUAAUGACAGUACCGGGAGAAUAAGCUCCGGCUAACUCCGUGCCAGCAGCCGCGGUAAUACGGAGGGAGCUAGCGUUGUUCGGAAUUACUGGGCGUAAAGCGCACGUAGGCGGCUUUGUAAGUUAGAGGUGAAAGCCUGGAGCUCAACUCCAGAAUUGCCUUUAAGACUGCAUCGCUCGAAUCCAGGAGAGGUCAGUGGAAUUCCGAGUGUAGAGGUGAAAUUCGUAGAUAUUCGGAAGAACACCAGUGGCGAAGGCGGCUGACUGGACUGGUAUUGACGCUGAGGUGCGAAAGCGUGGGGAGCAAACAGGAUUAGAUACCCCCGUAGUC